Molecule: ribosomal RNA, 236 nt
Filed under: uncultured bacterium
Lineage: Bacteria
Description: partial 16S ribosomal RNA
Rfam family: Bacterial small subunit ribosomal RNA
Source: RNAcentral
UGAGCAAUCUGCCCUUCUCUUCGGAAUAAGCGUGGGAAACCGCGUCUAAUGCCGAAUACGACCUCCUUUCGCAUGAUCGGAGGUGGAAAGUUCCGGCGGAGAAGGAUGAGCUCGCGGCCUAUCAGCUAGUUGGUGUGGGUAAUGGCCCACCAAGGCGACGACGGGUAGCCGGCCAGAGAGGGUGACCGGCCACACUGGGACUGAGACACGGCCCAGACUCCUACGGGAGCAGCAGG